This 232-nucleotide ribosomal RNA is filed under the name uncultured bacterium. RNAcentral describes it as "partial 16S ribosomal RNA". It matches the Rfam family "Bacterial small subunit ribosomal RNA", at positions 99 to 334 of the family's 1533-position model. The record is from RNAcentral.
CGGACGGGUGAGUAAUGUCUGGGAAACUGCCCGAUGGAGGGGGAUAACUACCGGAAACGGUAGCUAAUACCGCAUAACGUCGCAAGACCAAAGAGGGGGACCUUAGGGCCUCUUGCCAUCGGAUGUGCCCAGAUGGGAUUAGCUAGUAGGUGGGGUAAUGGCUCACCUAGGCGACGAUCCCUAGCUGGUCUGAGAGGAUGACCAGCCACACUGGAACUGAGACACGGUCCAG